RNAcentral lists this ribosomal RNA (576 nucleotides) under uncultured bacterium. RNAcentral describes it as "bacterial SSU rRNA". It matches the Rfam family "Bacterial small subunit ribosomal RNA", at positions 338 to 916 of the family's 1533-position model. The record is from RNAcentral.
CCUACGGGAGGCAGCAGUAGGGAAUAUUGCGCAAUGGCCUAACGGCUGACGCAGCAACGCCGCGUGGACGACGAAGCUUUUCGGAGUGUAAAGUCCUUUCAGCGGGGACGAACGGGUCUUCGGGCCCUUGACUGUACCCGCAGAAGAAGCACCGGCUAACUCCGUGCCAGCAGCCGCGGUAAUACGGGGGGUGCAAGCGUUGUUCGGAUUUACUGGGCGUAAAGAGCGUGUAGGCGGCCGGCCAAGCCAGAUGUGAAAGCCCAGGGCUUAACCCUGGAAGGGCAUUUGGAACUGGUUGGCUUGAGUUCGGGAGAGGGAAGUGGAAUUCCGGGUGUAGAGGUGAAAUUCGUAGAUAUCCGGAGGAACACCGGUGGCGAAGGCGACUUCCUGGACCGAAACUGACGCUGAGACGCGAAAGCGUGGGGAGCAAACAGGAUUAGAUACCCUGGUAGUCCACGCUGUAAAUGAUGGGCGCUAGGUGUGGGGGGUUUUUAAUCCCUCCGUGCCGCAGCUAACGCAUUAAGCGCCCCGCCUGGGGAGUACGGCCGCAAGGUUAAAACUCAAAGGAAUUGACGG